AGCUCAGCAUUGGGUUUAAAGCGUGCGCAGGCGGUUUUGUAAGACAGAGGUGAAAUCCCCGGGCUCAACCUGGGAACUGCCUUUGUGACUGCAAGGCUGGAGUGCGGCAGAGGGGGAUGGAAUUCCGCGUGUAGCAGUGAAAUGCGUAGAUAUGCGGAGGAACACCGAUGGCGAAGGCAAUCCCCUGGGCCUGCACUGACGCUCAUGCACGAAAGCGUGGGGAGCAAACA
Molecule: ribosomal RNA, 230 nt
Filed under: uncultured Alicycliphilus sp.
Lineage: Bacteria; Pseudomonadati; Pseudomonadota; Betaproteobacteria; Burkholderiales; Comamonadaceae
Description: partial 16S ribosomal RNA
Rfam family: Bacterial small subunit ribosomal RNA
Source: RNAcentral